This 579-nucleotide ribosomal RNA is filed under the name uncultured bacterium. RNAcentral's name for it is "partial 16S ribosomal RNA". It matches the Rfam family "Bacterial small subunit ribosomal RNA", at positions 355 to 1376 of the family's 1533-position model. The record is from RNAcentral.
UAAGGAAUAUUGCUCAAUGGGAGAAAUCCUGAAGCAGCAACGCCGCGUGGAGGAUGAAGGGUUUUUAACUUGUAAACUCCUGUAAAGAAGGAAAAAAUUCCCAUUAGAUGGGAAAUGAUGGUACUUCUGGAGUGAGCCCCGGCUAACUACGUGCCAGCAGCCGCGGUAAUACGUAGGGGGCAAGCGUUGUCCGGAUUUACUGGGUGUAAAGGGUGCUCAGGCGGAUUUGUAAGUCAGAGGUGAAAUCUCACAGCUUAACUGUGAAACUGCCUUUGAUACUGCAAGCCUAGAGUAUGGAAGAGAGUGAUGGAAUAUCUGGUGUAGCAGUGAAAUGCGUAGAUAUCAGAUAGAACACCAAUGGCGAAGGCAGUCACUUGGUCCAUAACUGACGCUAAAGCACGAAAGCGUGGGUAGCAAACAGGAUUAGAUACCCUGGUAGUCCACGCCCUAAACGAUGAAUACUAGAUGUUGGCUUCGCAUGAAGUCAGUAUCUGAGCUAACGCAUUAAGUAUUCCACCUGGGAAGUACGAUCGCAAGGUUGAAACUCAAAUGAAUUGACGGGGUCAUAGCUGUUUCCUG